CGAAUAUGUAAUUAUAAUAAUCUGUUCUACCGUAGGUAUUGCUAACUAUUCAAUGUUUAUAGCGGUUAUACAACAUGCUUGUGCACUUUUCCUUAUCAUGGAGUGGAAAGUAAACGAAAGAUUUAAAAAACCUCCACAGAAUUUCUAUUAUGCCAAUACUAACGAUGAAUUAGCCGAGGAAAGAGAAUGGAUAAUCGGUAUCAUAGAAUUCUAUAAUAAGGCGAUUGAAUUUGUCCAAUUAUUGAAAUCGUUUUACGAAGCAAUUCACCUUUUGGAAGAACUUUUGGCGUUUAUAGUUAUUCUGGUAGAUUAUUUUUAC
Molecule: long non-coding RNA, 319 nt
Organism: Vespula vulgaris
Lineage: Eukaryota; Metazoa; Arthropoda; Insecta; Hymenoptera; Vespidae
Exons: 3
Source: RefSeq, a predicted model, not a curated record